UUUGGACCAGCACACUGCCUUAGCUGUAAGUUCUUGAACAUUUCUUUAAACGUUUUUAAAAGGUUUUUGUUUUUUUAAAAAGAAAGCUGUUCUGGUUUUACAAUGUAAGAGGUUAUAGAAAAAUCUCAAAUGAACUCAAUCUCGUUCUGAGAUAAAAAUCUUGAAUGCCUUUAUUUCUGUUGUUGGUCACAGUUGUUUUAUGUUGAAAAGUGUUAUUACUGAAAAAUUGGGGGAGCGUGGAGGAAACACAGUACUUGGAAAUUGAGU
Molecule: long non-coding RNA, 267 nt
Filed under: Bos taurus (domestic cattle)
Lineage: Eukaryota; Metazoa; Chordata; Mammalia; Artiodactyla; Bovidae
Description: long non-coding RNA NONBTAT005814
Source: RNAcentral